Molecule: non-coding RNA, 2543 nt
Organism: Sus scrofa (pig)
Lineage: Eukaryota; Metazoa; Chordata; Mammalia; Artiodactyla; Suidae
Source: RefSeq, a predicted model, not a curated record
GGAUUCUACUGUGGCUGUGGCGUAGGUGAGCAGCUGUAGCUCCAAUUUGACCCCUAGCUUGGAAACCUCCUUAUGCCGCAAGUAUGGGCCUAAAAAGCAAAAAAGAAAAGAAAAGCUUCUCUCCCACCCAGCUCCUCAAUUCCCAAAGCAAUAAGUAUUACCAGUUUCUUCUUCCACAGAAGACUCUGUGCAUGUACGUAGCAAAAACGUAUUUUUUCUCUUCUUGCCCCAAAUGUAGCAAGCUUUACACACUUUUCUAUACCUUGCUUCUUCUAUUUAGCAAUAUACCUUGGAGAACUCUGUAUAUCAGUCUACGAAGAAUUCUCAGUUAUUUUUUCUUGUGGUUGCAGAGUUCCUCUGUGUGGAUGUGCCAUAAUCCACUUUAAACAGGUUGCAUUAUAUUCCAUCCAUGGCUGAAGGUGGGUUGUACAGGAAUGCAUGCUUUCUGCACCAUUGCAGUGCUGCUGCAUUUGACUUUGGAUAAGGAGAGAGCUCCCCACUGUCCCCAAAGACCCUUCAAGAUGCUGAGACAGAGGGCAUGGUCUGCUUGCAGUGGAGUCUGUGAGCACCCAGGACCUGGGUUCCAGAGUCGGUUCCGCUACCAACCACCCAGGUUUAGGAUAAGUCACUCGGCUUGUGGAGCCUCAACUUUCUCAACUGUCAAAUGGGGCAGCAACAUCACAUCAGCCGUGAGCAAAACCAGUUCGGUAAAAAUCACAAGGACCAAGCCCAGAACCGGGUGACGGUUAACAGCCACAGCAACAGGAGAAAUCCAAGAGGGUCGAACACCAGGCACCGGGAUUCUGGCCGCCCACCCUCCCCCAAGGUGGACUCCCACAAUGUUAUAAAGAAAAGAUGAAUCCAGAAUCUUACUGUUCACUACUGGCACGUCUUCCCUGGUGACCAGAAGGGAUUGGAAAUUUUAUUAUUAUGAUGAGCACGUGCUGGUGAGGUUAUAUGCUUGGUGGUGCGCGACCUCUCUUUAUCAAACACAUGUGAGAGCCUGCUGUGCACCAGGGUCUGUGCUAAGUGCUUUAUGUGGGUUACUGCUGAUCUUCAUUAUAACCUUUCAAGGUAAGUGUUUUCAUCACCGGAUGGAGAAACCAAGGCUCAGAGAAAUCACCUUGUUAUUAAGUUGGGCAACGUGAAUUUGAACCCAACCCUGUCUUCUCCAAAGCCUACCAGACCCCUUCCAUUAAGAGGCUAAAGAUAUAGAGAGUAAGGGCAAGUGAACACAUUAAACAGAAUCAGAAGGAUUGGGUGGUUGUAGCUUUUUGCUUUUUUGUGUUAGAUCUGUUUUCAGUUAACUUCAAAUACCAUGAGGCGAAUUUCACCUCAUGGUGAUGAGUCAGAGUCCAGUUGCUUUUUGAUCCUGCUUGGAAACCCAGAAUGUGCCUAACACAAAAGAUGGUCCAUAAAUAGACUCAUAAAAAAGGAUGACUUUGAAAUGAGGCGUUGCCUAAGACAAGGACUUCAGCUCUAUGGUUUUUGUUUUUUUUUUUUUUUCUCCCAUUAUGACACUGCUUUCUGAACCAAAAUAAAGAUAAGGUCUGGGAGUAUCCUGCAGACAUGGCCUAGGCCCACCUGCAGGUUGCAUUUCCUAAAGCAGGCCAGUUGGACCAUCAAUGAGCCUUGUAAUCCCAACCACUUGUGGCAAGAAGGCUUUCAGUAACUGGAUACCCUGAAUUAUGUGAUGGCCCCAUAAAGGGGUGUGACACAUGGGGCUGAAGUCACAACACAGAUCAGGGAGUUGAAGUCCCCCUGGCCUCUAUGGAAUGCCACUGAAAUACAUCCUGCGGCAAUCACAGCAUAUUGUCUUACCUGGAUGCAUAGCUGCACUGCCCUUCUCUCCAUAAUAGCCUUGAAGCCUUUACCUGCAUUAGAGCAGCUAAAACUGCACUUUGAGCACAAGGACUAACACUGUGAUUUAAAAGGUGGUUAAUUAACCUUGGGAAACUUGGACAUCAUGAGUGCAAAACUCAGAUUCUCCAAUAUAGUUUGCCACUUAAAAGAAUAGGCUAUCAGCUUUCUACAGGAGGGUUCACUAGACUGAAUAUGAUUGGGAUGGGAGGAGGUUUGGGUCAUAUGAGCUUAGUUGACUGACAGGAGAAUCUAGUCUUCCCUAGAUUGCCAUGCAAGUUAGCUCCCUGAGGGUUUUCUAGUAUGGAGGCCCUUGGCUGUUAGUAUGGUUUGGGCCCAGGCACAAUUAGCAUUUAGGCAGCAUCCCAGCUCUGAGGGCUCCCAAACUACCCCAGGCAUUUGGAGGAUGACUGCUGUGCCUUAGGAGAGAGAGAUUCAGGCCAAAGGCCUCCCCUCUGAGCUCUCCUGAUUCCGAUUUCCCAGACGAUUUCCCAUAGCGACAACCCAUGGAACCAAACUCGAGCAGCUGCAAGCUCAGUGGGGCUCACAGCUUCCAAGGGAUCAGACAUUUCCAGCAACCCCAGCAGUGCCAGAUUUGAGAGUGAGGUGAGUGCGCAGAUGACUUUUCCCACCAGGAUGAGGGGCGGGGCCUCGGGGGGGGAGGGGCGCGGCGGGGCGGAAGG